This 460-nucleotide ribosomal RNA is filed under the name uncultured bacterium. RNAcentral's name for it is "partial 16S ribosomal RNA". It matches the Rfam family "Bacterial small subunit ribosomal RNA", at positions 338 to 795 of the family's 1533-position model. The record is from RNAcentral.
CCUACGGGGGGCAGCAGUGAGGAAUAUUGGUCAAUGGACGAGAGUCUGAACCAGCCAAGUAGCGUGAAGGAUGACUGCCCUAUGGGUUGUAAACUUCUUUUAUAUGGGAAUAAAAUGUUCCACGUGUGGGAUUUUGUAUGUACCAUAUGAAUAAGGAUCGGCUAACUCCGUGCCAGCAGCCGCGGUAAUACGGAGGAUCCGAGCGUUAUCCGGAUUUAUUGGGUUUAAAGGGAGCGUAGGUGGAUUGUUAAGUCAGUUGUGAAAGUUUGCGGCUCAACCGUGAAAUUGCAGUUGAAACUGGCAGUCUUGAGUACAGUAGAGGUGGGCGGAAUUCGUGGUGUAGCGGUGAAAUGCUUAGAUAUCACGAAGAACUCCGAUUGCGAAGGCAGUUCACUGGACUGCAACUGACACUGAGGCUCGAAAGUGUGGGUAUCAAACAGGAUUAGAUACCCUAGUAGUC